This 253-nucleotide ribosomal RNA is filed under the name uncultured bacterium. RNAcentral describes it as "partial 16S ribosomal RNA". It matches the Rfam family "Bacterial small subunit ribosomal RNA", at positions 524 to 776 of the family's 1533-position model. The record is from RNAcentral.
UACGUAGGGUGCAAGCGUUAAUCGGAAUUACUGGGCGUAAAGCGUGCGCAGGCGGUUUUGUAAGUCUGUCGUGAAAGCCCCGGGCUCAACCUGGGAAUUGCGAUGGAGACUGCAAGGCUUGAAUCUGGCAGAGGGGGGUAGAAUUCCACGUGUAGCAGUGAAAUGCGUAGAGAUGUGGAGGAACACCGAUGGCGAAGGCAGCCCCCUGGGUCAAGAUUGACGCUCAUGCACGAAAGCGUGGGGAGCAAAUAGG